UUGGAGGGCAAGUCUGGUGCCAGCAGCCGCGGUAAUUCCAGCUCCAAUAGCGUAUAUUAAAGUUGUUGCAGUUAAAAAGCUCGUAGUUGAAUUUCGGGGUUCUACCGUUGGUCAGGCUAACAAGUCUGUACUAGCGUGUAGAAUCCCUACCUUCUGGGGAACCAUCAUGUUAUUAAUUUAGCGUGGUGGGAAACCAGGACCUUUACCUUGAAAAAAUUAGAGUGUUCAAAGCAGGCUUACGUCUGAAUACAUUAGCAUGGAAUAAUAAAAUAGGACGGUGGUCCUGUUUUGUUGGUUUCUGAAUCACCGUAAUGAUUAAUAGGGAUAGUUGGGGGCAUUAGUAUUCAAUUGUCAGAGGUGAAAUUCUUGGAUUUAUUGAAGACUAACUUCUGCGAAAGCAUUUGCCAAGGAUGUUUUCAUUAAUCAAGAACGAAAGUUAGGGGAUCGAAGACGAUCAGAUACCGUCGUAGUCUUAACCAUAAACUAUGCCGACUAGGGAUCGGACGAUGUUAAAUUUUAUUGACUCGUUCGGCGCCUUACGGGAAAC
This 547-nucleotide ribosomal RNA is filed under the name uncultured Scutellospora. RNAcentral's name for it is "SSU rRNA". It matches the Rfam family "Eukaryotic small subunit ribosomal RNA", at positions 548 to 1098 of the family's 1831-position model. The record is from RNAcentral. Lineage: Eukaryota; Fungi; Glomeromycota; Glomeromycetes; Diversisporales; Gigasporaceae.